RNAcentral lists this ribosomal RNA (1315 nucleotides) under metagenome. Its description in RNAcentral is "bacterial SSU rRNA". It matches the Rfam family "Bacterial small subunit ribosomal RNA", at positions 8 to 1326 of the family's 1533-position model. The record is from RNAcentral.
AGAGUUUGAUCCUGGCUCAGAUUGAACGCUGGCGGCAUGCCUUACACAUGCAAGUCGAACGGCAGCACGGGAGCAAUCCUGGUGGCGAGUGGCGAACGGGUGAGUAAUACAUCGGAACGUGCCCAGUUGUGGGGGAUAGCCCGGCGAAAGCCGGAUUAAUACCGCAUACGACCUACGGGUGAAAGCGGGGGAUCGCAAGACCUCGCGCAAUUGGAGCGGCCGAUGGCAGAUUAGCUUGUUGGUGGGGUAAAAGCCUACCAAGGCGACGAUCUGUAGCUGGUCUGAGAGGACGACCAGCCACACUGGGACUGAGACACGGCCCAGACUCCUACGGGAGGCAGCAGUGGGGAAUUUUGGACAAUGGGCGCAAGCCUGAUCCAGCCAUGCCGCGUGUGGAAGAAGGCCUUCGGGUUGUAAACCACUUUUGUCAGGGAAGAAACGGUCUGAUCUAAUAAAUCGGACUAAUGACGGUACCUGAAGAAUAAGCACCGGCUAACUACGUGCCAGCAGCCGCGGUAAUACGUAGGGUGCAAGCGUUAAUCGGAAUUACUGGGCGUAAAGCGUGCGCAGGCGGCUAUGCAAGACAGAUGUGAAAUCCCCGGGCUCAACCUGGGAACUGCAUUUGUGACUGCAUGGCUAGAGUACGGCAGAGGGGGAUGGAAUUCCGCGUGUAGCAGUGAAAUGCGUAGAUAUGCGGAGGAACACCGAUGGCGAAGGCAAUCCCCUGGGCCUGUACUGACGCUCAUGCACGAAAGCGUGGGGAGCAAACAGGAUUAGAUACCCUGGUAGUCCACGCCCUAAACGAUGUCAACUGGUUGUUGGACGGCUUGCUGUUCAGUAACGAAGCUAACGCGUGAAGUUGACCGCCUGGGGAGUACGGCCGCACGGUUGAAACUCAAAGGAAUGACGGGGACCCGCACAAGCGGUGGAUGAUGUGGUUUAAUUCGAUGCAACGCGAAAAACCUUACCUACCCUUGACAUGUCUAGAAGUUUCCAGAGAUGGAUUCGUGCUCGAAAGAGAACUAGAAUACAGGUGCUGCAUGGCCGUCGUCAGCUCGUGUCGUGAGAUGUUGGGUUAAGUCCCGCAACGAGCGCAACCCUUAUCAUUAGUUGCUACGCAAGGGCGCUCUAAUGAGACUGCCGGUGACAAACCGGAGGAAGGUGGGGAUGACGUCAGGUCAUCAUGGCCCUUAUGGGUAGGGCUACACACGUCAUACAAUGGCCGGUACAGAGGGCUGCCAACUCGCGAGAGGGAGCUAAUCUCAGAAAACCGGUCGUAGUCCGGAUCGCAGUCUGCAACUCGACUGCGUGAAGU